AUUGAUUUAGUAUAAUUAUAAGUUAGUACGGGCCACUGUUAAUGGUCAGGAGAGUUUCCGUCAAUCAUUG
This 70-nucleotide transfer RNA is filed under the name Botrylloides violaceus. RNAcentral describes it as "transfer RNA-Asn". The record is from RNAcentral. Lineage: Eukaryota; Metazoa; Chordata; Ascidiacea; Stolidobranchia; Styelidae.